This 5561-nucleotide long non-coding RNA is filed under the name Arabidopsis thaliana (thale cress). RNAcentral describes it as "potential natural antisense gene, locus overlaps with AT3G56410 (AT3G56408)". Lineage: Eukaryota; Viridiplantae; Streptophyta; Magnoliopsida; Brassicales; Brassicaceae. The record is from RNAcentral.
UUUUCAUUGAUCUUUGUUACUUUUGAUGGUUUCCAUCACCCGAGGGAGCAAAUCGUUUGUGUUUACUUUGUUUUGUGCUUCAUUGCCAAUUGAUUUCUCUGGAUGGAAUGUUCAUGUUUUGCAUUGUAAGAACUCAUGGUAAAUCUUUUUGUUGAGCAAAUCGGUUCUGUAUAUUCAGUUAUCUUAUGAGUCUUGAAUCAGAACAGCUUUUGUAGAAAACAGAUUUGUAUACUCAAUGAAUUGAUUUAUUAUCUGUAGAAAACCUUACAAUCACUCAAAAACAAAAUUGAAACAAUGUACACACUGUUUUUGUAUCGCAGGUAAAGUCUUCAAGUAUGUGGGGAAAGCUUGGAACAAUGCUUAUCUGUUUUCGUGCCAUCAAGUUUUCUUGCUGAAGAACAAUACAUCAGAGAGUGAUCCAGAGGAGUUGAUGGGAGAACGAAGCGGUGAAACUAUGUGACUAUGCAUUGUUGAAGCUAUUGGAGAACGUAUUUGUGAAGCCAUCAGGUAAUGCAGCGGAGAACCAAUGGGAGUAUGAAUUGGUGAAGUGAGAGGUGAUCGUAGAGGUGAAUUUUGCGUUUGGUAUAACGCAUGACGCAAACCCACAAUUUCAGAAGGCUCCGUUGUGCUGUAGAUGUGAUCAUGUUGUUCAAAGGUUAGACUUAACUUCUCAUUCUCUUUCUGCAAAUGUUCUAAUUGUUCUUCCACUAUCUCCUCUUCAGUGUCACUAUCUAGUUCUGCCAUUUUACUUGGAAAUUCAUGGCCUUCUGAAAAUACGUCUGAAUCUUUUUCAGCAUCACCUUGUUUAAAGGUCUGCCUUAGACUUUCUUGCUUAUCUUGAGACAUCUUUAAAUGAAACGUCAUCCUUUCUUGCUCAAGUGUGUCAUCAAGACUGAGCCUGAAUAUAUCAUCCCUUGGUUCAAGUGUCUCGUCCAAAUCCAUUUUUCCAUUUUCGCCUUUCUCCAACUGCAGCGAUGAUCCAUCUUCUGCCAUUACGCCUACUUUUAGCGCUUUGGUUUCAUAAUCAUCCACCAGCCAAGACCCAUCCUCGUGAAGUACAGCUCUCUCUUUUGAACUUCCACGAUCAUUGAAGGAACCCCUUGAACUAGAUUCUGAUCUUCCAUCAGCAUCCUCGUCUGCUUCAAGCUUUGUCUCUACCUCAUACCCAUGGCGACGAAACGUUAAAGUUCUCCCUGACGUCCAUUCAAAUGUCUCAUCCAGUUUCAUUGAUUCAUUUCCGCAUUCCUCCAAGUGCAGUGAUACUGUAUCUUUUGCCAUUUCGCCUACUUGUACAGCUUCGGUUCUGCCAUCAAUCACCAGCUGGGGAUCCUCCUCAUUUAACAACUCUCUUGGAAUUUCAUGAUCAUUGAAGGAACCCUUUGAACUAUAUUCUGAUCUUUCAUCAACGUCGUUGUCUGAUUCAAGCAUUUCCCCUAGCUCAUACUCAGGUAGACGAAAUGUUGGAGCUCUUUCUGAAGUCCAUUCAAGUGUCUCUUCCAAUUUCAUUGUUUCGUUUUCAAAUUUCGUCAGGUGCAGCGAUGGUUCAUCUUCCACCAUUACACCAACUUUUAGAGCUUCCGUUCUGUUCUCAUCCACUAGCCAGGGCUCCUCCUCAUGAGACACAGCUAUCCCUUUUAAAUUUUCAUGGUCAUUAAAGGAAUCCCGUGAACUGGUUAUUGAUCUUUCAUUAGCAUCCUCUUCUGGUUCAGGCACUGUCCAUCGUUCAUACUCAUGCAGAUGAAAUGCUGCAGCUUUUUCAGAAGUCCAUUCAAAUGGAUUGCUAUUAUAUUCCUCUAACUUCAACCCCGCUCCAUCUCCCAUUGUCUCUGCCCAUGAAUUUUCACUUUCACAUCUGCUUCCUUCCGGAUAAACCGGUUCUUUUGUUCCGUAGGAAUUUUCCAUAUCUUCAUUUUGAGACUCCAUUUGAUGAGAUACCGAGCUGUCUUCAUUCUUUUUGCUUAUGAAAGUUUCACCCGCCUUCUCAACAGGAACAACAGAUCCAUCUCCAACCAUCUUACUUGGCUCAAGUGUUUCAUUUCUCUCAUAUCUAUACUCUUGUAAUUCAGACCUUGCUAUGUCAAAAACGGUGUCACUCAACUCUUGUCUUUUGCUUGAGUUCUCAUACUCAUAGUGGGACUGCUCAGGUAUAGCAACUUGAGACUCAUGAAAAACGACCCUCUCUUCUGAACCUCCAUCGUCAUUGAAGGAGCCCCGUGAACUUGAUUCUGAUCUUCCGUCAGCAUACUCGUCUGGUUCAAGUAUUGUCCCUAGCUCAUAAUCAUGCAUGCGAAAUGUUGGAGCUGUUUCUGAAGUCCAUUCAAAUGGUCUGCUGUAAUUCUCAUAGUUGCUUUCAUAUUCCUCCAAAUGUAACCCCGCUCUAUCUUCUAUUGUCCCUUCCCAUGUUCUUUCACCUGCAAACCCGCUUUCUUCUAGAUAAACCGGUUCUAAUGUUCCAUAAGAAUUUUCUACAUUCUCGUUUGGAGAAUCCAUUUGAUGAGAUACCAGUCUCUCUUCACCUGUCUUGCCUUCUAUGAUUGUUUCGAAUGCCUCGCUCACCUUCUCGAAAGAAACAAGAGAUCCAUCUUCGCCCACCUUGCUCGGCUCAAGAGUUUCAUUUGUCUCGUAUCUAGACUCCUCUAACUUACACGUGACUCUGUCACUAAUGGUCAUUUCCAACUCUUGUCUUUCGCUUAAAUUCUCAUAUUCAUACUUGGAGUGCUCCUGGAUCCUGGAUAUUGUUACUGUAGCCUCGCCUGAUUGGUCAAGAUGUCCUAUAAACCUCUGAUUCUCAUUCACCAAAGAGUUCAAGGGAGAAUGUGUUGUAGCUGACUUCGCAUCUGAAAUUGUGUUUGAUAUGUGCUCCGUAUCUUCCUUGACUGAUGUAUCCUCAAAUGGUUCACCAUAGCUUAAGCUGCUGUCACAUAUAGAAUCUCGAGUGUACCUAGAUUUAUCCAAAUGCAACUGCGGUUUGUCUCCGAUCUCUUCUAAUGUACUUUCACCUUCAUAUUCUUCAGUUUCUUGAGUCUCCUCCCAUUCAAACUCGUAAGUGUCUCCGGUAUUCUCAGACUGUACACGUGUUUCACUGACGUAUUCUUUCUUGUAUAGAAGUUCCUCACUAUGAGAUACCGAUCUCUCUGCAACUCUCUCAUCUUCUUCACUUGAUUCACUCAUCCUUUCGUUCUGGUUUACUGGAACUUCCAAGGACUCACCUGAUCCUUCUCCUACAAUUUCUUCUGGCUUAAUAAUUUCGUUCUUCUCAUAUUCAGGCUCUUCUAUAUCACAAAUGUUAUUAUCCAUCUCGGUUGACUUUUCUGAAUGAGCUUCCUGAGAUUGCUCUAGAUGAAUCUUGGAAGUCUCUCCAAUAGUCUCACUUGAUGUAGGUUGUUGCUCGCUUAAUCUGCGGUUCCCCAUAGGUUUUAGAUGAGGCUGUAAUGCCUCCAAUUUCAAAUCUAAAAAUUUGGUGGAUAUAUUCCUUAUGUCUUCUUUAAUCCCUUUAUCCUCAAAUGUUUCUAGAAUUUUUUGACUCAAUAUAACAGCAUCGUUACUUUUGCAGAUUGUUUCUCCAGAAUCGUCGUCUAAACACGUCAGAUGACUUCCAUCAGGAUUAAUCUCUUCAUGACCUUCUGAUGCUGAAUCCUGGUGAUUAGUAACAGUCUCAUCUGCAAAAUCCAUGCCAUAAUCCACAAAGCUAGGUGAAUCCAGGACAGUAUCUGCUUUCUCUCGAAUAGAGAACUUAAGUACACCGGAACAACUGCCACAUCUCACUUGAUAUCUUUGACGUUUUCCUUGGGGAGACACUUGAGGAAGCUGUAGAAGUUCCAAGCAAUAGGAACAAGUUGCAAAAGGUGCACCGCCGGCUGAAGGGAGAAUAUGGCGCUUCACUACCGGAUUCCUUUCCCUGACAUACCGUUUUUUGUUCCUUAGAAUGCUCUUUUCACUACUUGUGUCACUCUUAGAAAUCCCUACAGAAUGCUCAGAGUAUGUAGAGCGGUGUGGCGCAGCAGCUGGUACAUAACUACGCUCAGAGUACACAGAGUGAUGCGGGGUUUCAGAUCUACUUGGUUCAUAAAGAUUAUGAUACUGAAGAUCAUGUAGCUGAGACUGAGAAGACCUGUGAUAGUACUUUCCAUCAGAUGUCUCACCCGGAAAACGAGUAGGUGAAGCAACAGAAGAUUCUUGAAACCAGCCUUCUCUGCUAUACUGCUCGAAUUGGUUUGGUUGUUGAUGAUAAUAAGACUGCUCUGAUGCAGAAACGUAAGACCCGUGAAAAGGACUACUGUAGCCAUAUUCAUAUGCAGAAGAAGGGGAAGGACUUGCUGGAUAGAAAGGAACCCGAGGUGGAUCUGCGUAUCUUCCCUCAUGUUGUGCCCAUUGCGCAGCAUUGCUGCGUGUGUUAUAUGGAGAGCUUCUUUCUGAAGUAAACACAUCAGAAUCACCGGUCUCACUGAAGUCAUCAGUCCUUCUCAUCCAUUCUCUGCGGAUAUCAGAUGUCUCAGGCUUGUAAACAGUUUCUGGAUGAUAACCUCUUUCAACAGAAGUCGAUGGCCUUGAAUUGUACUCCCGGUGAGUAGUUCUCAUUGGAGUUCUACUACCAUCUUCUGGAGAUUCUACCUCAGCACUUAAACUACGGUUUUGAGAAGAAAGGAGAGCCUCAGGAAUAGUGUUUGUGUGAUCAUUGCCGUCAGGUUCCCAACGUUUUGCUGCAUCCAAAGAAAGAACACACGAAAAAAGAAAACACUUAUGAAUGAGGUGGGUUACUUGUAAACAUGCUACUUAAGAAGGCUGUUGUACCAUGAAGAAUCGAGUCGCAUCCACCACAUUUGUAAGAAGUAGCAUCUAAAGGUUCCUGGAGAAGUUUGUGGCACUUAGGACAUCUCACGAUUCUAGAUUGAGAAGAUAAUCCGGGCACGGUUCUACUCCUCAUACCUCUGAACAUAUGCUUCAAGUCUUUACUACUUGCCAACUACCAAAAAAAAAGAUAAAAGACAAGCACUUCAGCUCAAAUCCAGAACUCAAGAACCUGUAACAGGAAAAAUCAAAGAUCUAAGAGAGAGAGAGAGGAAGAAGAUGAGAAGUCACCUUAGAACGGAUAAUGGAGAGGAGCCUAGGUGAAGGUGAAGAAUCUGAGGAUGGUUCAAAAGUUUUCUUGGUAGAAGAAGACUGGGAUCUGCUCUGUUUCUUCUUCUUCAUCAUGGUUUGGUGAUUGACUUAACUCUGAUGAAUGAUCUUUUUCUUUUUUCUUUCUGGGAAUAAAACUUUGUUGAUGAUCUUUCAAGCAAGCAAGUAGGAGGAGGAGAUAUAUUAUUAUAUGAAUCAGAUCAGGCACUAUAAUGAAUAAUGGUCAAGGUGAUGAAGGUUUUAACAGACUUGUUUAUUGACUAUUAUUUUGCUUCUUUCAAUUUAUUUCUUUUCAAGAAAAUUAAGAUCUGAGAGUUGCAUUGAGUAGUCACCAUUGGAUUUGGAAGUUGAGGUCCAGUUCCUCUAGUAUUAACGAUUUGGAUUUUGAAAAGUCAACUUUGGAGAUCGCCAAGAAACAUCCCUUUAUUAUAAUUUCUAGAUCA